CCAGACUCCUACGGGAGGCAGCAGUGGGGAAUAUUGCACAAUGGGGGCAACCCUGACGCAGCAACGCCGCGUGAUUGAAGACGGCCUUCGGGUUGUAAAGAUCUUUAAUCGGGGACGAAUUUUGACGGUACCCGAAGAAUAAGCUCCGGCUAACUACGUGCCAGCAGCCGCGGUAAUACGUAGGGAGCAAGCGUUAUCCGGAUUUACUGGGUGUAAAGGGCGUGUAGGCGGGCAUGCAAGCCAGAAGUGAAAUCUGGGGGCUUAACCCCCAAACUGCUUUUGGAACUGCGUGUCUUGAGUGAUGGAGAGGCAGGCGGAAUUCCCAGUGUAGCGGUGAAAUGCAUAGAUAUCACGCAGAACCCCGAUUGCGAAGGCAGCAUACCGGUGCACAACUGACGCUCAGGCACGAAAGCGUGGGUAUCGAACAGGAUUAGAUACCCGGGUA
This 445-nucleotide ribosomal RNA is filed under the name uncultured bacterium. Its description in RNAcentral is "bacterial SSU rRNA". It matches the Rfam family "Bacterial small subunit ribosomal RNA", at positions 331 to 792 of the family's 1533-position model. The record is from RNAcentral.